RNAcentral lists this ribosomal RNA (436 nucleotides) under Lactiplantibacillus plantarum. RNAcentral describes it as "bacterial SSU rRNA". It matches the Rfam family "Bacterial small subunit ribosomal RNA", at positions 957 to 1394 of the family's 1533-position model. The record is from RNAcentral. Lineage: Bacteria; Bacillati; Bacillota; Bacilli; Lactobacillales; Lactobacillaceae.
UAACGCGAAGAACCUUACCAGGUCUUGACAUACUAUGCAAAUCUAAGAGAUUAGACGUUCCCUUCGGGGACAUGGAUACAGGUGGUGCAUGGUUGUCGUCAGCUCGUGUCGUGAGAUGUUGGGUUAAGUCCCGCAACGAGCGCAACCCUUAUUAUCAGUUGCCAGCAUUAAGUUGGGCACUCUGGUGAGACUGCCGGUGACAAACCGGAGGAAGGUGGGGAUGACGUCAAAUCAUCAUGCCCCUUAUGACCUGGGCUACACACGUGCUACAAUGGAUGGUACAACGAGUUGCGAACUCGCGAGAGUAAGCUAAUCUCUUAAAGCCAUUCUCAGUUCGGAUUGUAGGCUGCAACUCGCCUACAUGAAGUCGGAAUCGCUAGUAAUCGCGGAUCAGCAUGCCGCGGUGAAUACGUUCCCGGGUCUUGUACACACCGAA